This 1474-nucleotide ribosomal RNA is filed under the name metagenome. RNAcentral describes it as "bacterial SSU rRNA". It matches the Rfam family "Bacterial small subunit ribosomal RNA". The record is from RNAcentral.
AGAGUUUGAUCCUGGCUCAGGACGAACGCUGGCGGCGUGCCUAACACAUGCAAGUCGAACGGACGAGGCCCCUUCGGGGACCGAGUUAGUGGCGGACGGGCGAGUAACGCGUGAGCAACCUGCCUUUCAGAGGGGGACAACAGUUGGAAACGACUGCUAAUACCGCAUGAUGCAGCGAGAUCGCAUGGUCUUGCUGUCAAAGAUUUAUCGCUGAAAGAUGGGCUCGCGUCUGAUUAGCUAGUUGGAGGGGUAACGGCCCACCAAGGCGACGAUCAGUAGCCGGACUGAGAGGUUGAACGGCCACAUUGGGACUGAGAUACGGCCCAGACUCCUACGGGAGGCAGCAGUGGGGAAUAUUGGGCAAUGGGGGAAACCCUGACCCAGCAACGCCGCGUGAAGGAAGAAGGCUUUCGGGUUGUAAACUUCUUUUACCAGGGACGAAGAACGUGACGGUACCUGGAGAAAAAGCCACGGCUAACUACGUGCCAGCAGCCGCGGUAAUACGUAGGUGGCAAGCGUUGUCCGGAUUUACUGGGUGUAAAGGGCGUGUAGGCGGAGCUGCAAGUCAGAUGUGAAAUCUGGGGGCUUAACCCUCAAACUGCAUUUGAAACUGUAGCCCUUGAGUAUCGGAGAGGCAGGCGGAAUUCCUAGUGUAGCGGUGAAAUGCGUAGAUAUUAGGAAGAACACCAGUGGCGAAGGCGGCCUGCUGGACGACAACUGACGCUGAGGCGCGAAAGCGUGGGGAGCAAACAGGAUUAGAUACCCUGGUAGUCCACGCUGUAAACGAUGAAUACUAGGUGUGGGGGGACUGACCCCCUCCGUGCCGGAGUUAACACAAUAAGUAUUCCACCUGGGGAGUACGACCGCAAGGUUGAAACUCAAAGGAAUUGACGGGGGCCCGCACAAGCAGUGGAUUAUGUGGUUUAAUUCGACGCAACGCGAAGAACCUUACCGGGAUUUGACAUCCUACUAACGAAGCAGAGAUGCAUUAGGUGCCCUUCGGGGAAAGUAGAGACAGGUGGUGCAUGGUUGUCGUCAGCUCGUGUCGUGAGAUGUUGGGUUAAGUCCCGCAACGAGCGCAACCCCUAUUGUUAGUUGCUACGCAAGAGCACUCUAGCGAGACUGCCGUUGACAAAACGGAGGAAGGCGGGGACGACGUCAAAUCAUCAUGCCCCUUAUGUCCCGGGCUACACACGUAAUACAAUGGCGGUCAACAAAGGGAAGCAAAGCCGCGAGGCAGAGCAAACCCCCAAAAGCCGUCUCAGUUCGGAUUGCAGGCUGCAACUCGCCUGCAUGAAGCUGGAAUUGCUAGUAAUCGUGGAUCAGAAUGCCACGGUGAAUACGUUCCCGGGCCUUGUACACACCGCCCGUCACACCAUGAGAGUCGGGAACACCCGAAGUCCGUAGUCUAACCCGCAAGGGAGGGCGCGGCCGAAGGUGGGUCUGAUAAUUGGGGUGAAGUCGUAACAAGGUA